Molecule: ribosomal RNA, 301 nt
Filed under: uncultured bacterium
Lineage: Bacteria
Description: partial 16S ribosomal RNA
Rfam family: Bacterial small subunit ribosomal RNA
Source: RNAcentral
CAGUCGCCACGGUAAUACGUAGGUCCCGAGCGUUGUCCGGAUUUAUUGGGCGUAAAGCGAGCGCAGGCGGUUUGAUAAGUCUGAAGUUAAAGGCUGUGGCUCAACCAUAGUUCGCUUUGGAAACUGUCAAACUUGAGUGCAGAAGGGGAGAGUGGAAUUCCAUGUGUAGCGGUGAAAUGCGUAGAUAUAUGGAGGAACACCGGUGGCGAAAGCGGCUCUCUGGUCUGUAACUGACGCUGAGGCUCGAAAGCGUGGGGAGCGAACAGGAUUAGAUACCCCAGUAGUCCCUGUCUCUUAUACC